Misgurnus anguillicaudatus (oriental weatherfish) is the source of this 768-nucleotide non-coding RNA. Lineage: Eukaryota; Metazoa; Chordata; Actinopteri; Cypriniformes; Cobitidae. The record is from RefSeq and is a predicted model, not a curated record.
UUUUAUACAUUUUUAUGAAGGUCUGUCCAUUUAGAACAAAAUGUGCAUGCAUGUUUAUGUAGAAAUAAUUGAACACACCCCCGGAUAAGGAUCUUAAAAGCUAUGCUUUAAAGCACAACAUUUCUGUUUAUUUUAAUACAAUAAAUAUUUAAUGUUAAACAAGUUCUAAUUUUCAGUCCGUCUGAACGCAGUGCUUCGCUAUGAGAAGCACUUUCUUUACCAUCUUUAUUGUUUUUUAACAUGUUCUCUUUUGUUAUGUGUUAUUAGGCAUGUUCGACUUCAUGAAGCGCUGCGAGAACCCACAUCAUAUGUUGAUGACGUAAACGUAUCGCGAGACUGAGUCAAGAAAUUACACGUAGAGGUCUAAUUUCGAACCGCUCUCGCGGUACAUUGACGUCAUCAUCCUGUCAGCGCCGCAUGAGGUCGAACACACCUAUUAUUUGCGGGCACGCGCCUCCGUCCUCGUGAGUUAAAAAAACUCAAUUUAACCGAUGUUUACCUCAGACGACAGUUUUCGUUUCUGUGAUAAAUUCUGAGCUAAUUUUCUUGUUGUGUUUGAUCUUUUCCAUUGGCUGAAGAAUGCUGUGACAAAAAAGCAACCAGGACACCACAUCUGCAGUGACAGAGAGCAGGAUGGGGGAGGAAUCAGAAGGACCAGAAGAUAAUAUCAACUGGUGCCCCUGAGGAGAUUCACAUUGUUCUGUUUCUUUUGUUUAGUAAUAAGUGGUUUUAUGUGAUUUUGUAAAAUAAAAGAAAUUCAGUAUUCAA